This is a long non-coding RNA of Pseudopipra pipra, 3302 nucleotides long. RefSeq lists it as uncharacterized. The record is from RefSeq and is a predicted model, not a curated record. The transcript has 2 exons. NCBI's taxonomy places the organism in Eukaryota, Metazoa, Chordata, Aves, Passeriformes, Pipridae.
UGAAUUCCUUGUCAGCUUCAUAUGAAAGGCCCUGGUACAGGAAAAAUCUUUUGUUUUUUAUUCUUGUGUGUUUGAGACGUAACUUAAUUUGGGGCUAAACUGGUUCAAAAUAGCAUAUCAAUUCCAAUCAUUUUUUAAUUAACCAUGAUUAAGUUGGAGCUCGAUACCUCGGCCAAGCUGAGACCACUGUCUGUAAACAGCUCUGCUCCAAUUUAGGGAAGUUUUAAAUGGACACCUGGGGGUGACCUGCACAUAGUUGGUACAGAUGGGCCAAGAACUUGUAUUCCUGUCUAUUAGGUCUUACCAUAGGAGCUCAGCAGGGCAAGCUAUCACCUCACUCACAGCUCUCUAAUGACCUUAUUUCUGAAUUUCUAUGGGGAAAAUCUAAGGAUGUCAAAUGUCUGCUUUCCUGUGCAAUGAUCAGCUGAAACCAGUUCACUUGUAAUUCUUGUUGGCUUUCCUGAUCACCCACAAUAUCAUUGCUCAUUAGUUUUUUAAAUAGAAGAAAAUGUAUGCUGAAUGCAUAAAGGUAGAACAUAGGUGAGCUAGAGAGUUUGCUGUUCUCUUUCCCUUUGUUUGUUGUCAAUGCCAAAAUUGCUAUAAAAGAAGACAGGGAAAAGCUUGAUUAUGCAGUAAUGAACAAAAACAAAAAAAAGGAAAUGAAUGUGCUUGUCAUCUUCACUCUUAACAGACAUCAAAUGGUACUUUAGAAAAUUUACUUAGCAAGCAAUGAGAGUCCCAGUAGUUCCUUCCUACUUCGGUUUCCUCGUAUUCUGAGUUACUAUAAUCAUAAAAUGGAGGUAGAAGUUUUAGGUUAGGAAGUUUUCAAGGAAUACCAUGUUCAAAAAUGUUACCAACUCCAUGGAAAAAAGUAAGUUCAGACAUUUGGUGUGAAGACUCAUGUGUGAACUGCUCUCUCCCUUAGGGAACAGAGGAAUAGCUAUUUCUGUACUUCAGAAAACAAGAUUUUGGCCUGGGGAAGAAGAAAAUAUAUUUCAUGCAUAUGUCUAUUAAGCUGCUAUACUUCUAUUCCAGAGCUGCACAAGAGAAAACUAAGCUUGUGCCAAUUUCAAUAUUUCUCUGGCAAUUUACUAUUUUCCAAUAGAAAAAUCUAUGAUCUGUUAACUUCUCUUUAGUGAAUUGUGACUUUGGGAUUUUUUUUUUAAUAUUAAAUAUUUUGUAAGCUCAUUAUUGCAUUUCUGGACUGAGAUAACUGAACUGGGAUCAGAAAUUGGCUCAGUAACAGGCUUCUACUUUUGUUUAAAUGUCUAUAUAGUUAGUAAGGGCCAUUAAACAUUAAAUUUUAUCACCAGUGUGUGCUCUGGCCUUCCAGAUUUAAAGUAAACUGGAAAGAAAAAAGAACCUUAAGCAGCUCUUCUUCUUGUGUUUCUUUUCCUCGUUGCCAGCAUCUUCAAAACAUGAGCUUGUAAUUCCGCUGAUGGGACAGUGAGGUGUUGUCUUCACUACUGUGCUGCAGAGCUCUGUAUCUUAAGGAUAUUAUUAUCUUUCAAUUUUUAAUAGUCUGCUCUGACUGCAUCUGUAUCCAGCAAGAAAUGCCGUUCCCAACUAUGCUGAGUAUUCCCUUUGAUUAAAGUGCACUUGCCUGCUCUGAGGAGAGGCAGGUGUGUCAGCUCUGCUCUUGGCUUCUCUUGUCACUGUUGACACCCAGUUCUUGUGCUCCUCUAGUGGCAGUCUCAUCUCCUUUCACCUCUCGCAUUUAGCACCUGUGAGCAGUCUCUGCAGGACUUUUCCCCAGCUGCUGGGGCACUCCAAAGAUGCAUAAGUACCAGAAGAAAUGAGGUAAGUGCCUUUAUAUUCCAGCUAAUCCUUGAGGCUUAGCUCAUUCUCUCUUCAUAUUACUGUAAAACUCAUUGUAAGACUCUGAACAGGGCAAAAUUCAUUCACCUACAGAAAAACUCUAGUGAGACCAUUUAUAGUGAAACCAGAAACAGCCCUGCUGGUCUUUCCCUCUGGCUGCAUGGACUAACGGGGUUGCACAUUUGCUUGUGUUGUGGCAGAGCUCUAAUGGAGACCUGAGGGCAUCAGAUCAGAUGUCCCCAUCUGAGUAGCCCCUCUGAAUACAGUGCAUAGUCUUCAUCAAAUAACCUAUGUCUUGUUUAAGUUCCUUGGACUGGGUGUAAUUUUUCCCCAGCUUUUGAACAUCUUAGUAAAAUAUUGUGGAAGAGUUUGUUGCUCUGGUUGGUGUUUUAUAAACAGACUAUUCAAGAAGGACUGCAGCUCUGUCUUGUAGAAGAUUAGAACACAAACAAGGAGAAUGGAAUCUCAGAGCAUCUGGAUGUGAGACUAGAGGGAGUUAGGAGCAGGUGGGUAAUGUUAAUGAAAUGGCUCACAGUGCAUGAAGUUGAACCCCAAAAAGAUGAAGAAUUUCAAAUUGUUCUGAAACAGUUAACUCACUGUGAAAAGCAAUCAGACAUAUUGUAAGUUAAUGUUUUUAUUCAAUACCAUUUUCCCUCUUUUCUCUUAGAUAAAUAUGUUAUUUGAAAAGCAAAUUUAGGGGUAAAUGGCCCAGUGGGAAAAUAGGAGGAAGGUGUGUGGAGGGUGAACUAUUGCAGAGGUAUCAGCUGUUACCAGUUAGAAUGUUUCCUUUUAUCAUCUCUUGAAGAUUCAUUCAGUGUUCUCAUAUGAAAAGCAAAUUAUAGAAAAAUUGGCUGGUUUUAGCAAGCAGAUGCUUAGCUCAUGUAAUUAUUGCCUUCAGCAGAUAGUUUUGUCUAUCCUGCACACCUAAAGAGAUUGUCCAGAGGGAAAACUAUUAGUAAUCAUUUCUGCUACGGUGCCUUCUGAGUAUCUAAUUUUGGAUUACUGUGAUCUGAUAUAAGACUAAACUUGAGAGAAGGGAGAUGGUGGUAGAACCUUGGCAUCUUUGUCAAAAAAAGAAAAUGUUUGUUUAGCAUUGACUAUAAAAACUGAUUAUGAAAAGCAAAACUGAUUAUGAAAAGGCAUACUUGGAAUGUCAAAAUAAAAAAUAUUACAGUAUAGUAAGCAAACUGUACUUAAAAUAUAAAAUCAACCUGGAUAGAUCUUAAAUCAUUGUGCAUUAAAAUCUCUUCAUUCUAGACUCAAAUGGAAGCAUAACUGUCUUGUGCAAGGAUAGGUUUCUAGAAAGCAAGAUAUUUAGCUGGAUGCAAACAGAAAAUCUUCACAGGAAGACACCCAUUUCUAUUAGCUGGAUGUACAAUGAUCUACUUCAUCACACAGUCAAAAAGGCCUGAAGUAAGAAAACCAAGCAAUUUUCAGCAUGUGCUCUGCAUCUGUAAUUUCAGCUUUGCAUCUGCUGAGGAGAG